UUGGAUAUAUAUAUAUAUAUAUAUAUAUUCCAAUGACUCCGGAACCGAUUCCAAUGACCCGGAACUUGGAUUAAGGCCAUCCAAAUGCUGGAGCCAAGGUUGCCGAGUGAAUUUUGGGGGCGAUGCCCUUAUAGCUUUGCUCAUCUAGGAGGUUCAAAAGUCUGCUUUGUUCUUUCCAAUCCCAUCAAGCACCCAAAAAAAAAAAGGUCUUUGGAAGAUGCGUCUUCUUGUUCAAACUUUAGAGUUUUCCUUCUCCAAACCAAGUACCACCCUCACCAGUGCUACUGAUGAUGAUUAUAAUUAUAAUGAUGGUGGCUGCGAUUCAAAAAGAUCAUUCGAUUUCUCCUCCUUCAAGGCCGACACCUUCUCCACUCACAUCUUUGAAUACGAUUGGUGCGGGAAUCUUUUGGGACUGCUCACGCAGCCGUGCUUGGUUGCUUUGCCCUGUAAGUUUUGUCGGUAAGGUGAGGCUCUCAGGGGGAGCAUCAUUCUCGAUCAAGCACGUUGAAAAUAUGGUGUGCAGCAGCAUUGUGAAGUGACCCUUUGAUUUGUAUAUGCAACAUUGUUUGGAAAUCGGAAAUUGGAGACCUGCCAAGCUAGCUACUGUUGUUUCCAGUACAUUCAAACAUUUAUGUGUCUGGUUCCUUGUGUAGUUUUCUAAAUUCAAUCCGAGAUUUGGAAGUAAUCGUCACCUUAAUUGUCUCUUUCUGUU
Long non-coding RNA from Pyrus x bretschneideri (Chinese white pear), 712 nucleotides. RefSeq lists it as uncharacterized. The record is from RefSeq and is a predicted model, not a curated record. NCBI's taxonomy places the organism in Eukaryota, Viridiplantae, Streptophyta, Magnoliopsida, Rosales, Rosaceae. The transcript is spliced from 2 exons.